This 492-nucleotide ribosomal RNA is filed under the name uncultured bacterium. RNAcentral's name for it is "partial 16S ribosomal RNA". It matches the Rfam family "Bacterial small subunit ribosomal RNA", at positions 30 to 507 of the family's 1533-position model. The record is from RNAcentral.
AUUGAACGCUGGCGGCAUGCUUUACACAUGCAAGUCGAACGGUAACAGGCCUUCGGGUGCUGUCGAGUGGCGAACGGGUGAGUAAUGCAUCGGAACGUGCCCAGAGGUGGGGGAUAACGCAGCGAAAGCUGUGCUAAUACCGCAUGUGAUCUGAGGAUGAAAGCGGGGGACCAGGCAGCAAUGUUUGGCCUCGUGCCUUUGGAGCGGCCGAUGUCAGAUUAGGUAGUUGGUGGGGUAAAGGCCUACCAAGCCGACGAUCUGUAGCUGGUCUGAGAGGACGACCAGCCACACUGUGACUGAGACACGGCCCAGACUCCUACGGGAGGCAGCAGUGGGGAAUUUUGGACAAUGGGCGCAAGCCUGAUCCAGAAAUGCCGCGUGAGGGAAGAAGGCCUUCGGGUUGUAAACCGCUUUUGUACGGAACGAAAAGGCUCUGGCUAAUACCUGGGGCUGAUGACGGUACCGUAAGAAUAAGCACCGGCUAACUACGUG